UAGAUAGUGUUGCCUGCAAUUGUCCCUUGAUCUUUGACUUUAAGAAGCAGCCAUCAACUCCUAUUAAUGGCCGCCAAGUCUAUUUCUAUUUCUUUCUAAGAGCAUCAAAACAAACAUAGAAUUGAUUGAACAAGUCUUUCCCAGCAUCAUCCUUGGUUGUAUCAACCUCCACUAUAGAUCUUAGAUUUGCUUCCAAGAUCUCAGCUGCAUAAUCCCUGAGUCAUGUAAACUGGAGAUCAUACUCAUACUCUAUCC
RNAcentral lists this long non-coding RNA (255 nucleotides) under Capsella rubella. RNAcentral's name for it is "long non-coding RNA (CRUB_LNC004193)". The record is from RNAcentral. Lineage: Eukaryota; Viridiplantae; Streptophyta; Magnoliopsida; Brassicales; Brassicaceae.